Non-coding RNA from Bacillus sp. FJAT-22058, 102 nucleotides. The record is from Rfam. Lineage: Bacteria; Bacillati; Bacillota; Bacilli; Caryophanales; Bacillaceae.
AUAAUAAAAAAACAUAAUUGUCGUAUAAUAUUGGGGAUAUGGCCCAAAAGUUUCUACCAAGCUGCCGUGAACGGCUUGACUACGAUGUGGAAGGAUUGGCGU